RNAcentral lists this ribosomal RNA (428 nucleotides) under uncultured bacterium. RNAcentral's name for it is "partial 16S ribosomal RNA". It matches the Rfam family "Bacterial small subunit ribosomal RNA", at positions 354 to 796 of the family's 1533-position model. The record is from RNAcentral.
GUGGGGAAUAUUGGGCAAUGGGGGAAACCCUGACCCAGCAACGCCGCGUGAGGGAAGAAGGUUUUCGGAUUGUAAACCUCUGUCCUUGGUGACGAAGGAAGUGACGGUAGCCAAGGAGGAAGCCCCGGCUAACUACGUGCCAGCAGCCGCGGUAAUACGUAGGGGGCAAGCGUUGUCCGGAAUGACUGGGCGUAAAGGGCGUGUAGGCGGCCGAUUAAGUCUGGAGUGAAAGUCCUGCUUUCAAGGUGGGAAUUGCUUUGGAGACUGGUUGGCUUGAGUGCGGAAGAGGUAAGUGGAAUUCCCAGUGUAGCGGUGAAAUGCGUAGAGAUUGGGAGGAACACCAGUGGCGAAGGCGACUUACUGGGCCGUAACUGACGCUGAGGCGCGAAAGCGUGGGGAGCGAACAGGAUUAGAAACCCGUGUAGUCC